RNAcentral lists this long non-coding RNA (1011 nucleotides) under Ficedula albicollis (Collared flycatcher). Its description in RNAcentral is "lncRNA (ENSFALG00000027979.1)". Lineage: Eukaryota; Metazoa; Chordata; Aves; Passeriformes; Muscicapidae. The record is from RNAcentral.
GUUCCUGGAGCGGAUUUCUGACACUCGUGGGGACACAGCGGAGAGGCUGGUGCUGUGAAAACCACCCCCAAACCCCUCCACUGUCACCCUCUCAUGGCGUGUAGGGAGCCCCGCUGUCUGAGCAGCCUGUGGAGCACUCUUCCUCUUUUCCAGCACCCUACAGACCCCGAUACCCCUCCUUACGCCCUGCAGGGAUCCCCAAUCCCCUCACAUCCUCCCCAGUCCACUCACAUCCUCCCCAAUCCCCUCACAGCCUGCAGGGAUCCCAAAUCCCCUCACAUCCUUCAGGGAUCCCAAAUCCCCCUCACAGCCUGCAGGGAUCCCAAAUCCCCCUCACAGCCUGCAGGGAUCCCAAAUCCCCUCACAUCCUUCAGGGAUCCCAAAUCCCCCUCACAGCCUGCAGGGAUCCCAAAUCCCCUCACAUCCUUCAGGGAUCCCAAAUCCCCCUCACAGCCUGCAGGGAUCCCAAAUCCCCUCACAUCCUUCAGGGAUCCCAAAUCCCCCUCACAGCCUGCAGGGAUCCCAAAUCCCCUCACAUCCUUCAGGGAUCCCAAAUCCCCCUCACAGCCUGCAGGGAUCCCAAAUCCCCUCACAUCCUUCAGGGAUCCCAAAUCCCCCUCACAGCCUGCAGGGAUCCCAAAUCCCCUCACACCCUACAGGGAUCCCCAGUCCCCUCACAGCCUGCAGGGAUCCCAAAUCCCCUCACACCCUACAGGGAUCCAAUCUCCUCACACCCUGCAGGGAUCCCCAAUCCCCUCACAGCCUGCAGGGAUCCCAAAUCCCCUCACACCCUCCCCGGAUCCCCAGUUCCCUCACACCCUCCCCAAUCUCCUCACAGCCUGCAGGGAUCCCCAAUCCCCUCACACCCUGCAGGGAUCCCAAAUCCCCCUCACAGCCUGCAGGGAUCCCAAAUCCCCUCACACCCUCCCCGGGGGGGGGGGGGGGGGGGGGGGGGGGGGGGGGGGGGGGGGGGGGGGGGGGGGGGGGGGGGGGGGGGGGGGGGGGGGGGGG